UUAAGUGACUAAGCGUACACGGUGGAUGCCUAGGCAGUCAGAGGCGAUGAAGGGCGUGCUAAUCUGCGAAAAGCGUCGGUAAGGUGAUAUGAACCGUUAUAACCGGCGAUACCCGAAUGGGGAAACCCAGUGUGUUUCGACACACUAUCAUGUCAUGAAUACAUAGUGGCAUGAGGCGAACCGGGGGAACUGAAACAUCUAAGUACCCCGAGGAAAAGAAAUCAACCGAGAUUCCCCCAGUAGCGGCGAGCGAACGGGGAGGAGCCCAGAACCUGAAUCGGCUUGUGUGUUAGUGGAAGCGUCUGGAAAGUCGCGCAGCAAAGGGUGAUAGCCCCGUACACUAAAAUGCACAGGUCGUGAGUUCGAUGAGUAGGGCGGGACACGUGACAUCCUGUCUGAAUAUGGGGGGACCAUCCUCCAAGGCUAAAUACUCCUGACUGACCGAUAGUGAACCAGUACCGUGAGGGAAAGGCGAAAAGAACCCCGGCGAGGGGAGUGAAAUAGAACCUGAAACCGUGUACGUACAAGCAGUGGGAGCACCUUCGUGGUGUGACUGCGUACCUUUUGUAUAAUGGGUCAGCGACUUAUAUUUUGUAGCAAGGUUAACCGUAUAGGGGAGCCGUAGGGAAACCGAGUCUUAACUGGGCGAAUAGUUGCAAGGUAUAGACCCGAAACCCGGUGAUCUAGCCAUGGGCAGGUUGAAGGUUGGGUAACACUAACUGGAGGACCGAACCGACUAAUGUUGAAAAAUUAGCGGAUGACUUGUGGCUGGGGGUGAAAGGCCAAUCAAACCGGGAGAUAGCUGGUUCUCCCCGAAAGCUAUUUAGGUAGCGCCUCGUGAACUCAUCUUCGGGGGUAGAGCACUGUUUCGGCUAGGGGGCCAUCCCGGCUUACCAAACCGAUGCAAACUCCGAAUACCGAAGAAUGUUAUCACGGGAGACACACGGCGGGUGCUAACGUCCGUCGUGAAGAGGGAAACAACCCAGACCGCCAGCUAAGGUCCCAAAGUCAUGGUUAAGUGGGAAACGAUGUGGGAAGGCACAGACAGCCAGGAUGUUGGCUUAGAAGCAGCCAUCAUUUAAAGAAAGCGUAAUAGCUCACUGGUCGAGUCGGCCUGCGCGGAAGAUGUAACGGGGCUAAACCAUGCACCGAAGCUGCGGCAGCGACGCUUAGGCGUUGUUGGGUAGGGGAGCGUUCUGUAAGCCGUUGAAGGUGGCCUGUGAGGGUUGCUGGAGGUAUCAGAAGUGCGAAUGCUGACAUAAGUAACGAUAAAGCGGGUGAAAAGCCCGCUCGCCGGAAGACCAAGGGUUCCUGUCCAACGUUAAUCGGGGCAGGGUGAGUCGACCCCUAAGGCGAGGCUGAAAAGCGUAGUCGAUGGGAAACAGGUUAAUAUUCCUGUACUUGGUGUUACUGCGAAGGGGGGACGGAGAAGGCUAGGCUGGCCGGGCGACGGUUGUCCCGGUUUAAGCGUGUAGGGGGUGUGACCUGGUAAAUCCGGUUGCAUAUCAACCCUGAGGCGUGAUGACGAUGCACUACGGUGCAGAAGUAGUUGAUGCCCUGCUUCCAGGAAAAUCCUCUAAGCUCCAGGUAACAUUGAAUCGUACCCCAAACCGACACAGGUGGUCAGGUAGAGAAUACCAAGGCGCUUGAGAGAACUCGGGUGAAGGAACUAGGCAAAAUGGUGCCGUAACUUCGGGAGAAGGCACGCUGGCAUGUAGGUGAAGUCCCUUGCGGAUGGAGCUGAAGCCAGUCGAAGAUACCAGCUGGCUGCAACUGUUUAAUAAAAACACAGCACUGUGCAAACACGAAAGUGGACGUAUACGGUGUGACGCCUGCCCGGUGCUGGAAGGUUAAUUGAUGGGGUCAGCCGCAAGGCGAAGCUCUUGAUCGAAGCCCCAGUAAACGGCGGCCGUAACUAUAACGGUCCUAAGGUAGCGAAAUUCCUUGUCGGGUAAGUUCCGACCUGCACGAAUGGCGUAAUGAUGGCCAGGCUGUCUCCACCCGAGACUCAGUGAAAUUGAACUCGCUGUGAAGAUGCAGUGUACCCGCGGCAAGACGGAAAGACCCCGUGAACCUUUACUAUAGCUUGACACUGAACAUUGAGCCUUGAUGUGUAGGAUAGGUGGGAGGCUUUGAAGCGUGGACGCCAGUCUGCGUGGAGCCAUCCUUGAAAUACCACCCUUUAAUGUUUGAUGUUCUAACUCUGCCCCGUAAUCCGGGGUGAGGACAGUGUCUGGUGGGUAGUUUGACUGGGGCGGUCUCCUCCCAAAGAGUAACGGAGGAGCACGAAGGUUAGCUAAUCACGGUCGGACAUCGUGAGGUUAGUGCAAAGGCAUAAGCUAGCUUGACUGCGAGAGUGACGGCUCGAGCAGGUACGAAAGUAGGUCUUAGUGAUCCGGUGGUUCUGAAUGGAAGGGCCAUCGCUCAACGGAUAAAAGGUACUCCGGGGAUAACAGGCUGAUACCGCCCAAGAGUUCAUAUCGACGGCGGUGUUUGGCACCUCGAUGUCGGCUCAUCACAUCCUGGGGCUGAAGUAGGUCCCAAGGGUAUGGCUGUUCGCCAUUUAAAGUGGUACGCGAGCUGGGUUUAGAACGUCGUGAGACAGUUCGGUCCCUAUCUGCCGUGGGCGUUGGAAGAUUGAGAGGGGUUGCUCCUAGUACGAGAGGACCGGAGUGAACGCACCACUGGUGUUCGGGUUGUCAUGCCAAUGGCAUUGCCCGGUAGCUAAGUGCGGAAAAGAUAAGCGCUGAAAGCAUCUAAGCGCGAAACUUGCCUCAAGAUGAGUCUUCCCUGGGCCUUUAAGGCCCCUGAAGGAACGUUUAAGACUAAGACGUUGAUAGGCUGGGUGUGUAAGUGCAGCGAUGCAUUGAGCUAACCAGUACUAAUGAUCCGUGAGGCUUAACCU
RNAcentral lists this ribosomal RNA (2905 nucleotides) under Serratia marcescens. Its description in RNAcentral is "23S ribosomal RNA". It matches the Rfam family "Bacterial large subunit ribosomal RNA". Lineage: Bacteria; Pseudomonadati; Pseudomonadota; Gammaproteobacteria; Enterobacterales; Yersiniaceae. The record is from RNAcentral.